UACGUAGGGUGCAAGCGUUAAUCGGAAUUACUGGGCGUAAAGCGUGCGCAGGCGGUUGUGCAAGACAGAUGUGAAAUCCCCGGGCUUAACCUGGGAAUUGCAUUUGUGACUGCACGGCUAGAGUGUGGCAGAGGGGGGUAGAAUUCCACGUGUAGCAGUGAAAUGCGUAGAUAUGUGGAGGAAUACCGAUGGCGAAGGCAGCCCCCUGGGAUAACACUGACGCUCAUGCACGAAAGCGUGGGGAGCAAACAGG
This 253-nucleotide ribosomal RNA is filed under the name uncultured bacterium. Its description in RNAcentral is "partial 16S ribosomal RNA". It matches the Rfam family "Bacterial small subunit ribosomal RNA", at positions 524 to 776 of the family's 1533-position model. The record is from RNAcentral.